RNAcentral lists this transfer RNA (71 nucleotides) under Hemiphyllodactylus insularis (Philippine slender gecko). RNAcentral's name for it is "tRNA-Trp". Lineage: Eukaryota; Metazoa; Chordata; Lepidosauria; Squamata; Gekkonidae. The record is from RNAcentral.
AAAUUUAGGUUAACUAUUUAAACCAAGGACCUUCAAAGCCCUAAAUAUUGAGCUAAACCUCAUAAUUUCUG